Molecule: long non-coding RNA, 311 nt
Filed under: Canis lupus familiaris (dog)
Lineage: Eukaryota; Metazoa; Chordata; Mammalia; Carnivora; Canidae
Description: lncRNA (ENSCAFG00000049979.2, ENSCAFG00805013398.1, ENSCAFG00845027941.1)
Source: RNAcentral
UGAUUCCACCACCUGGCCAGCUGGACCACACAGGAGUAGGAAAGAGGACACGGAGGCUCCAGUAAAGCUGAUGAAUUGCCUAAGGUCCCAGUGAAAACAGGAGGAGGCAGUACUGCUAACCUAUCCACCAGCUUGUUCUAUCGCAGAGCUGCCCUUGGAGCCACAAGGGAAGAAACAGAGAGAAAGGGCUGAAGGAAGACUUUCUGGAAGAAGCAAGGCCUUGAGAACCAUGUGAUGGAUGACAGGGAAGGAAAUGAAGAUCUAGUUUUAAGUGCUGCUUUCACACCGAACAGGAGCAGAAUGAAAUGGGG